GGGUAGCGCGAAGAUUCAUAGGAGGUUAAGAGAGGUUGAGUCCGUGGAGUCGGUAAUCACCUUGUAAUCUUUUCUCUUAGUGAAUUAUUUUUUCGCGUGUUAGUCCCGUGGGUUUUUCUCCAAGUUGGAGUUUUCCCACAUAAAUCUCGGUGUGCUUUUUAUUUUUCGCAUUUAUUUUUAUUGCAUCGAGAUUUGUGGUUUUUGGCCGUUCACCUAUUCACCCCCCUCUAGGUGAUAGAUACAAUCUAGAUAGAUCCUUGGGC
RNAcentral lists this long non-coding RNA (263 nucleotides) under Ananas comosus (pineapple). RNAcentral describes it as "long non-coding RNA (ACOM_LNC010107)". The record is from RNAcentral. Lineage: Eukaryota; Viridiplantae; Streptophyta; Magnoliopsida; Poales; Bromeliaceae.